AGCAGCCGCGGUAAUUCCAGCUCCAAUAGCGUAUAUUAAAGUUGCUGCAGUUAAAAAGCUCGUAGUUGAAUUUCGGGACCAUCAUGUCGGUCGUGCCUCGGUACGUACUGGCAUUGUUGGUUUCUCCCUUCUGACGAACCAUGAUGUCAUUUAUUUGGUGUCGUGGGAAAUCAGGACUGUUACUUUGAAAAAAUUAGAGUGUUUAAAGCAGGCUCACGCUUGAAUACAUUAGCAUGGAAUAAUGAAAUAGGACGUUUGAUUCUAUUUUGUUGGUUUCUAGGAUCGACGUAAUGAUUAAUAGGGAUAGUUGGGGGCGAUUAGUAUUCAAUUGUCAGAGGUGAAAUUCUUGGAUUUAUUGAAGACUAACUACUGCGAAAGCAUUUGCCAAGGAUGUUUUCAUAAUCAAGAACGAAAGUUAGGGGAUCGAAGACGAUCAGAUACCGUCGUAGUCUUAACCAUAAACUAUGCCGACUAGGGAUCGGAUGAUGUUAAUUUUUAAUGA
Molecule: unclassified non-coding RNA, 502 nt
Filed under: uncultured Glomus
Lineage: Eukaryota; Fungi; Glomeromycota; Glomeromycetes; Glomerales; Glomeraceae
Description: SSU rRNA
Rfam family: Eukaryotic small subunit ribosomal RNA
Source: RNAcentral